This is a small nucleolar RNA of Mustela putorius furo (domestic ferret), 103 nucleotides long. The record is from Ensembl. Lineage: Eukaryota; Metazoa; Chordata; Mammalia; Carnivora; Mustelidae.
AUCCUUUUGUGGUUUAUAGGAUGAUGAAUGGGGUUUUCACACUAUUAUGUCAGAUGUGCCUCCCCCCCCGAUAUUGUAAAAUGUCAACAUGUUACAUUAGAAA